This 328-nucleotide ribosomal RNA is filed under the name uncultured eukaryote. RNAcentral describes it as "partial 18S ribosomal RNA". It matches the Rfam family "Eukaryotic small subunit ribosomal RNA", at positions 1470 to 1796 of the family's 1831-position model. The record is from RNAcentral.
CCCUUAGAUGUCCGGGGCUGCACGCGCGCUACACUGAAGGAAUCAGCGUGCUAAAACCAUUGUCGAAAGGCAUUGGUAAACCCAUUAAAAUCCUACGUGAUUGGGAUCGGGAAUUGCAAUUAUUUCCCUUGAACGAGGAAUUCCCAGUAAGUGUGGGUCAUAAGCUCGCGUUGAUUACGUCCCUGCCCUUUGUACACACCGCCCGUCGCUGCCCGGGACUGAGCCGUUUCGAGAAAAGCGGGGACUGCUGCUGUCGGGGCUUUCGGGCCUUGGCUUCGGUGGAAACCGCUUUAAUCGCAGUGGCUUGAACCGGGAAAAAGUCGUAACA